This 1251-nucleotide ribosomal RNA is filed under the name Salmonella enterica subsp. enterica. Its description in RNAcentral is "partial 23S ribosomal RNA". It matches the Rfam family "Bacterial large subunit ribosomal RNA", at positions 1084 to 2236 of the family's 2925-position model. The record is from RNAcentral. Lineage: Bacteria; Pseudomonadati; Pseudomonadota; Gammaproteobacteria; Enterobacterales; Enterobacteriaceae.
CCCAGACAGCCAGGAUGUUGGCUUAGAAGCAGCCAUCAUUUAAAGAAAGCGUAAUAGCUCACUGGUCGAGUCGGCCUGCGCGGAAGAUGUAACGGGGCUAAACCAUGCACCGAAGCUGCGGCAGCGAACGUAUCACUUAAAGCGAUUCAGCGGGUUACGAUUGACGGAGCGAAGCGACGUCAAAGCGUAUACAAAGUCGAGUCGGUUUAAGGAUACGUUCGUUGGGUAGGGGAGCGUUCUGUAAGCCUGUGAAGGUGGCCUGUGAGGGUUGCUGGAGGUAUCAGAAGUGCGAAUGCUGACAUAAGUAACGAUAAAGCGGGUGAAAAGCCCGCUCGCCGGAAGACCAAGGGUUCCUGUCCAACGUUAAUCGGGGCAGGGUGAGUCGACCCCUAAGGCGAGGCCGAAAGGCGUAGUCGAUGGGAAACGGGUUAAUAUUCCCGUACUUGGUGUUACUGCGAAGGGGGGACGGAGAAGGCUAUGUUGGCCGGGCGACGGUUGUCCCGGUUUAAGCGUGUAGGUGUGUGUUCCAGGUAAAUCCGGUUCACUUUAACACUGAGGCGUGACGACGAGGCACUACGGUGCUGAAGCAACAAAUGCCCUGCUUCCAGGAAAAGCCUCUAAGCAUCAGGUAACAUCAAAUCGUACCCCAAACCGACACAGGUGGUCAGGUAGAGAAUACCAAGGCGCUUGAGAGAACUCGGGUGAAGGAACUAGGCAAAAUGGUGCCGUAACUUCGGGAGAAGGCACGCUGACACGUAGGUGAAGUGAUUUACUCAUGGAGCUGAAGUCAGUCGAAGAUACCAGCUGGCUGCAACUGUUUAUUAAAAACACAGCACUGUGCAAACACGAAAGUGGACGUAUACGGUGUGACGCCUGCCCGGUGCCGGAAGGUUAAUUGAUGGGGUCAGCGCAAGCGAAGCUCCUGAUCGAAGCCCCGGUAAACGGCGGCCGUAACUAUAACGGUCCUAAGGUAGCGAAAUUCCUUGUCGGGUAAGUUCCGACCUGCACGAAUGGCGUAAUGAUGGCCAGGCUGUCUCCACCCGAGACUCAGUGAAAUUGAACUCGCUGUGAAGAUGCAGUGUACCCGCGGCAAGACGGAAAGACCCCGUGAACCUUUACUAUAGCUUGACACUGAACAUUGAGCCUUGAUGUGUAGGAUAGGUGGGAGGCUUUGAAGUGUGGACGCCAGUCUGCAUGGAGCCGACCUUGAAAUACCACCCUUUAAUGUUUGAUGUUCUAACGUGGACCCGU